This 9893-nucleotide long non-coding RNA is filed under the name Panax ginseng (ginseng). RNAcentral describes it as "long non-coding RNA (PGIN_LNC005460)". Lineage: Eukaryota; Viridiplantae; Streptophyta; Magnoliopsida; Apiales; Araliaceae. The record is from RNAcentral.
GGCAAGUCAAGGAGGGAGUAUAGUAGCAUGUGAGUAAAUUUUUCUCACCCAAUCUAUCCAAAAUCUUAGAUUAAGAUAUUACCAAGAUUGUAAGCAAACUAAAGGAAAUAAAAAAAAAGUAAUUCUCUCUAUCAUCUCUUACACUUUACACCCGGGUAUUGGAGAGGAAAAGAGAGAGACAACUGAUCAUGGCCUAAGGAAGAAAAAGAAAUUAGUUUCCAAGCUCUUAAGAAACUCCUACACAACACCAUCUUCAUCUUCUCCACCAAAACCUCCAAGAAAUCCUAGAGAGAGAAAAUAAGAAAGAGAGAUAGAAGCAAGAGGGCUUAGGCAGCCACAUAGAGGGAGAAGAAGAAGGGAAGUUUGGUGUAUUUUCAAGUUCCAUAUUCUACCUUGAAAGAAGGAGAAGAGGUGGAUCUAAGAAAUCAAGGUAUAAACAACCUACCUUUAACCUUUUGUUUUAUUAUUUUGGUUGAUUUACAAAAUAUAAAGCUAUGUUUCUUGAACUUCAAAACUUUAGAUCUACAUGUUUUAUGGUUUGAUAUGUGUAGAUCUAAACAUUUUAGGUGUUAAAAGUUUGAUCCAAAGAAAGAAAAGUAAAACAGUUUUUAAAGCUUAGAAAAGCUAGUGACUGCUGCCCCAAAACAGAAAUUUUGGGGUUAGCUAGAGUGUUCUUAAAAUUAUGGGCUUUUGGUAUGUUAUAGUACAUUGAAUAAUCUUUCCAUAUACUCCGGAACGGACUAAUUCCGACUUCGGAGCAAAGAGUUAUGCUAUUUUAAAGUAGCUGAGUCAAAACUGGAAAACAUAUGCGGUUCAGUCCCUUUGCACGAAUUUUUGGGCUGAUAUGUUUAGAAUCUGGAAAAUAUCAGCAGGGGAAGUUGUAGAGGAGGAAGUUACGAAGGCGUGGAUUCUAGAAUCACUUAAAAAUGUUGAGAAACGAAGGAGUUAUGACCAUUUUAGUGAAGGAGGAUCGUGCAGUUUAAAAACAGAACAUUCUAUCCAGUUAGAGCAGAUUUCUGUACUGUUCGGUUUGGGAUUUGGAUUUGUUAUCUGAAGAGUAGUUGUAGUCCCGGAAGUUAGCUUCGUGUGGGCUCAAGGAUCGCCUAAAAAUGUUUAAAAACGAAAAAGUUAUGACUAUUUUAGUGCAAGAGGGCAAGCUGGAAAAUAUUUGAAAACUGUUGCGAGUGAACAUUUUUGGGGCCUGGUUUAGGCUGCCUAGGAGGUCCAAAAUGGGUGGGUUAUAUUUUUUAAAAAUAGCCUACUAUGGUACCUAUAACAUAUCCAAAGUUGGGAAUUUUCCGAUAAACGAACAAGGCGUGAGAAAAUCGCGAAGUAGAUAGUUUGAUAAGCGCACACAAGGCCAACAGCAGCAGCCAGGCAGCGCUCGCGCGCGCCUGCAUAGCCGUGUUGUGCUAUUGUUUGACGUCUUUUUCGCGCACUAUUUUGAUGAAUUUCCGUGAUCCGUUUUCGCGAUGUGAAAUUUUUCUUAAAUACUAUAACAUGCCCAAAAUUUCACUGUUAUAUGACUCAUGAUUUGAGAAUUAAAAAUGAGCAAAGGAGCAUGUCAGAACUUAAAAACGAGCGAACGCCGAGCGUUGACACGUCGAUCGAUUUUGACAUUCGACAUUCCGAAUCGCGUUCCGGCAAAAUAAUAAGUCAUAAUAAAUCUAAUAAAGUCCCAUGGGGCGAGAUUUGACAAUUAAUGGUAUUUUACGUCGAGAAACUUCUUUUCAGGCAUAAAUAAAGUAAUAAAAAUAUAUAAUAAAUAUAAAUUACAUAUUUAAGUGAAAUAAAAACUACAAUUGCCUAUAAAAUUAUAUUAUGGUAUAAGAAAAUAUUUUAUGUUAUUUUUAAUGACUUUCGAUAUUUUGUAAUGAGAUUCAUUAAUAAAUUAAUAUUAAUGGNNNNNNNNNNNNNNNNNNNNNNNNNNNNNNNNNNNNNNNNNNNNNNNNNNNNNNNNNNNNNNNNNNNNNNNNNNNNNNNNNNNNNNNNNNNNNNNNNNNNGAAAUAUUAUAGUAAAUUGAGUUUUACUAUUAAAGCUAUAUGCAUUAGCUGUUUAAACUCCGAAUUUGCGAGUAAAUGUAAAAGAUAUUUUCGAAAUGAAAUUUAAAUAAUUUAAGCUUCAAGAUGUAAAAUAUUUAUAUCUUAAAAUGUGUGAGACCUUUAUUAUUUAUGAAACAAGUAAAAUAUUAUUAGAUGAUUAAUAAUAUUAGAUAAUAAAUAAAAUACUAUUAAAUGAUUAAUAAUAUUAGUAAAUGAUUUGAAUAUUAUUAAAUGAUUAAUAAUAUUAGAAUAUGAUUAAAAUAUUAUUAAAUGAUUAAUAAUAUUUGUAAACGAUUAGGAUACUACUAAGAAAUUGAAAAGUAAAUAAAAUAUUAUUAAAAGAUUAAUAAUAUUAGACGAGAAUUUAAGAUGAUGGUUAUGUGAUAAUAAUAUUAUCAAAUGACGAUAAUAUUACUAGUGAGUUGAAGAAUUAUUCAAUGUUUGAUUAUGUGGCUAAAUGUUAGCUAAUUUAUUAUUUGAGUAAUAGUGUUGUGAGAUAAAAUGUAUUAUGCUAAUUAGAGGGUCGAUCUUAUAAUUGAUAGGUCAUUCAUAAGAGAUUUAAUUAUACUGCUUAGCGGUAAUCGAUGGUCAAGGCAAGUCUCCUAACUCAAACUCGAGUUAUUAUGUUUCAAGCAUUCUAGUGGAUUAAUUAUUGACAAUUAUUCCUCAUCUUUGAUUAUUGAUUCGCACUUAGUGCAUGUUGCAUAUGUUCAUCAGGUAUGAAAGACUGAUCACCUUCAUUACCAUAAGGUUCAGUUAAAUUUAUUUAUGGUCAUUGUUGACCACUUAGCAUAAUUAUUCAGUUAUUCAAUUAUUGAAGUUUUGAUACAUGCUCUUUCAGAAUUGUAUUACAUUGUUAAAAACAUGAAAGCUUAUUCCUUUUCGAUAAUGAUAUAUCUUCAUUGUACUUAAACUUGCUGAGCAAAGUAGUUGCUCACCCUUGCAAUAUCAUGAAUAUAUUUCAGUUUAACCCGAAAGCUCAAAGAAAGACAAAGGCAAAGGAAAAGAUAGAGAUUAUUUUUAUAUGGACAUUUAUCUAUUAUGAUAACUGACGUAAAUUGAUGAUGUAAACCUUGUGAAUUAUUAAAGGUAUGUAUUAAGAUAAAGGUUGUAGACCUUGGGAAAUGUUACAGAACCAUUGUGUAAUAAACAAAUUAUGUUUAUAAUUCCACAUUAGUUUAUAGAAUAUGUAUGAAGAUGUUGUAUCGUGACACACCAGGUCCGGAGUUCAAGGGACCCAAAUUUGGGGGCGCUACAAUCAACCUACAAGUUUAAUCAUUAUGUUCUAAGUCCUUGUAUAAUAAUUUCUCAUUUAAGGACUACAAAAAAAUACUUAACAAUUAUAAAUUAAUGUAAACACAUCAUCAAAUUUAAACAUGCAUAUUCUAACUAACAUUAAAAAAACAAAAAGAAUGAACAAAUAACAACUAAUCAUUGGUGGCCCCACAUUAUAAUAAUGUUCGGAUACAGAAAAUGACCAAAUAAUAGUUAAUAAAAGUUGUCGACAGAACUGUUAUAGUUAACUGUUAAAAUGUCGACAAUAAAGGAACAGUAUUGCACAUUGUCACAACAGUAUUCGACAUUAUUAAACUAAUAAUUAUCACUGUAGCAAAGGUAAUAAUGGAAAGCUACGUAUUUAAAGGUCACAUGAACUGAAAAGUUAGACAAACUCAUUAAUACGUUAGGUAAAUAACAUUAUAUACAUAAAUAUCUAUGAUAUUAAUACAUUAAGCAAAUAAUAUAAAAGAUGAAAAAUAUAAUAAUAAUUAUGAAUAGUAAAGAAAAGGUAAUCUUGAAAUCUAAAAGUUGUGUCGAAAUUAUAUGUGGUAGAUUGAAGGUAAUCUUGAAAUGUGAAAGUUGUGCCAAAAUUUAUGUGGGGUAGAUUAAAGGUAAUCUUGAAAUGUUAAAAUUGUUGUAAAAUAAUGUGUUGUAGAUUAAAGAUAAUCUUGAAAUGCAAAAAGUGUGCUAAACUUAAUGUGUGAUAGAUGUUGAUUUAGCUUUGGCUAUAAAGGGGGGAGGGGUUUGACAUAAGGAGUUGGGAUAACCUUUUUACUUGUUCUUCCCUACUUUCUAAAUAUUUCUUAAUGUGAGUGUUUUUUUGAGUGUGCUAAGAAUACUUUGAAAGUAGUAUACCCUUAAACUAAUUACAUUGGAUGUGAUAAACAUUUACUUUAUAAUCUUAUUCAUUUAUUAAGAAAAGAAUUAAUUUAAUUAAAGACAUUCUUUAUCUAUAUUUAAUUGGGGAAUAAAUUAGGAUAAACACAUAAUUUUAGAGCAAUACUUUUAGAACUAUAAAGAGUUCAUGCUAAUGAGAUCUAAAUUUUAGAUAACUUUGAAACUAAAAUGUUCCUAAUCAUUGGUUCACUAAUGUGGGGUUACUGAUUCUGGAUAGAUUAGUACAUAUUAUGCUUGCUUUAUUGAAGAAGAUGAUUGAUCUCAUAAUCAUUAGUGUGAAGACACUAUAGUAAGUAUAUAAGUGCUUAUUGGAGAAUAAGCUCACGUAGUUCACUGAAUGUGACUCGUUUAAGGAACACAUAAUGGAGUUUUACUUGCCCGACAAUAGGAGUUCCUAUGUUGAUAGUAAUACAAGUGAUCCUUGGACUUGAGAUCAUCAUAGUACCUUGUAUAUUCUGAGUUAUAUUUUGUCAUAUUCCUUAAAACUCUUUGGGUAUAUCAAAAGGUAUAUUCGGGUAUAAUAAAGUAAACAUGGAGGUAGGUGAGUGAUCAACAAAGGAUCUACCACUUCUAGUAAAAGGAAGAAUAUGUUCUAUAUGAUUCGAUAGGUGACAACUCAGAAAUCCUUGGCCAAGGUGAAUGGAAAUUAGAAAGGAGUUUAUAAUUUACAUUAACUAGUUAUUCAUUUUGAAAUCGAAAUGCAUAUAAUUAAAUAAAUAAGAUAUGUAAGAACUUUCAUGUUUUAUGUUUGAUGGGGACAUUGUAUGGUUGAUGAAUUGAAUUGUACGGUAACUAUCCAUGGAAUAUGUUCUUUGUUAUUAAACGUUGAUUUCAUAUUAUCCAGAUAGUCAUGAUAUGCUGAGGUGUCACUCAUGAUGUAGAAUAAAUAUUAUUUAUUUAUAUUUGAAUUAAAAGAGUUUAAUUCAUUAUAAAUAAUAUUAGAAUGGUUCAAAUUUAUUUAUUCUACUAGCGGUAUAAUAUUGAACCUACAUUGUGACAACCCGAGAAUUUAGAAUAUUUUUAAAAUUAUUAUUAAUUGAUUUAAGGUUCAAAAUUAGAACCUAGAUAGAAAAUUAGUGUAUGCGUUUGAUAUUUUUAAGAUGGAAUUUUGAGUAUUUUAAAAUUCUGUGAAGGAUUUAGGUGAAUUAUUCAGGAUUAAGGAAAACGUGAUUAUGUUCUGUGUAUAUGUGUACAGUAUGUGGUUGAGGGUCAAGAGUUGACCAGAUAAUUGAUAUCUGUAACAAACCCUAAGUAUAUAUUAAGAACAUCAACGUUCGGUUAGAAAAUCCUAGCGAUUAACAAGAAACCCUAGAAACCGGUUCUGGAAACCCUACUUUCAGUUCCGGGAAUCCGAAGCCCUAAUUCGGUGCAUGAAACCCUAAAUCGGGAACUUAAUGGCGUAAGUGUAAAUAAUUACAGGAUUAAUUAGGGUUAAUCUUAACAAAUUGGUUACAAAAUCCUAAUUCCAAAUUUGAAACCUUAAUUAAGGAUUUGAAACCCUAAUUUGCAAAUAGGGAAAAAACCUAAGUGUUAAUUAAAUAGUUUUAAUGUUAAUUAGGAUAUAUUAAUUCUAAUUUUCAAGUUAAGUAAUUAGAAAACCCUAAUCUAAUUACGAAAUCUACUUUCUAAAUUAGGAAGUUAUUUUUCUAUUAGAAACCCUAAUUUUGGGUUAUAAACCCUAAUCCGUGAUUUUGACUCUAAUUGCUAAAUUAGUGAUUUUAAUUAGGAAAUACUAAUCCUAAUUAGCGAGAUUUAAAUUAUGAUUAAGAAAUUGUAAUAUAAUUAGGAAAUUCUAAUUCUAAUUUAGAAAUAUUAAUUUUCUAUUUUUGAAAACCUAAUUUGGAAAUUUUAGGAAAUAAAUUGCAAAUCCUAAACCCUAAAUGCUCCAAACCCUAAACCCUAAGGGUUUGGCAAAUUGUCUAGAAUGCCAUUAAAUUAAAAUGCCAAAUGACCCAUUUUCCCUUUUUGGAUUUUUAGUAAGGUAACUUGCAAAUCUUGGCAAGAUAUUGAGUUGGUGACCAACUUAAGAUAUCCCAUGUGCCAUAUAUCUCUCAUAUCAGCAGCUAUCUCAUCCUUAUACAUUGAAUCCAAUAUAUUAUUAGUAAGAAAUAAGUAAAGUAACUCACUUUACUUAACAUUUUUACCAAGACUUUCUCUCUCUAUAUUUUUCAAAAUUUUGAGAGAGAGUGAGACCAAAAGAUAACCUUGAUAAGUUCCUAACUUUCCUAGAUAAGUAUCAAAGGCCAGGAUCAAGAAUCAAAGGGUGAAAAAGGUAUGAACCCUAAUUUUCGAAAUCUCUUGAUUUUAUGUUUGAUGUUGUAAUUGAUUAGUUAGAUAUGUGUAAUAGAGUGUCUAUAAGUGAUCUGGGUUGAUAGAUCAUAGAUCUAUAACACUUAGAUGCACGAAUCAAGCAUUUUUAGAAAUCUGGAAAAAUGGGAAAAUUAUGACCUGACAGUCGAAUGUCAGACGCCAUAAAUCUUUAUGUGAUAGCGUUUUUGUAUGUUUUAUGUUUUGAAUGUGUUCUAUGUCAUAAUGACUAUGAUCUAAAACUGGAAUCAUGGUCGGAUCAAGUGUAGAUUGAAAGAUAUAAGCGGUCAAACCGCGUUGACCAGCCACGAAAUUUGGUUUCUGGGUUACCCAGAAACCCAGAAGUCAGUGACAUCGUUUUUGCAGGCCAUGAAUCUUUCUGUUGUUUGUUAGUUUGGCCAAGUUGUUAUUGGAAUGUUGUAGACUGGUAUAAGGACUACACACUCAUGCAUUUAGAUCACCUAAAUCCUUAACAGAAUCAAAAUAAUGAUGGUCAAAGUAUCGUUGACCAACUGUUCUUGACGAAAUCUGGAAAACCCAGAAAUCGUGAAGAACAGCUCCUGACAUCACUUUGACCAGCCUUAAUCUCUCACAUGUGAUGUUUAUUAGACUGAUAUGAGGUUAUGUAGUCGUACCCUGACAUGUUUUCUACAAAAUAGAACCUUUAGUUCACACGAACAAGCUACAUAAUGCAAGGUAGAAGGAUCGAAAGGUAGUCACUUGGAUUGUUCUUCAUUUCUGGGUAACCUAGAAAAUGAAGAACAGGUUUGACACGAUUUGUAAUGGCUUAGAUGUCUCUGUUGUUAUGUUGUUUAGCUAUGAACUCGAGUUAGAAUUGUAGUAUUACACACAUACUACACUUAUGAUACCAUUAGCUACCUAGAAAAUAGCAUGAAAAUGAAUUUAAUGUUGGUCAAACCUCAUACCUUGUUCACUGACUUGAAGAUCUGGGCAGGCAUCAAGAACACCAAGAACACCUAUAGCGACGGUUCUGUCGCUAUAGGGCCCUUUAGUGACAGUUUUAAUUUCUAAUUUCCAGAAAUUAUUAAAUAAAUUAAAAUAAAUAGAUUUUAAUUAUUAAAAAUACAUAAUAAAUUCUGAAAAAUUAUUUUAAAUUCUAAAAAAUAGUUUUUAAUUAUUUUAAGUAUAUUUCAUAAAUAUUUAAUAUUUUUGGAAUAUAAAUGAUAUUUAAUUUAUUUAAUUAUAAUAUUAAAUAAAUUAAAAUUGAUUUUAAUACAUGAAAAAUCAUGAAAAAUUAGAUUAUGAUAUUAUAAAAAUAUUUUAAGUUAUUUUUGAUGACUUUUAAUAUUUUGUGAUGAAAUUAAUUAAUUAAUCAAUAUUAAUGGUAAUUAGUUUAUUUAAUAAAUAUAUUAAAUAAAUUAAGGAAAAAUAGAAUUAAUGGUUUAUAAAUCAUAUAAAAAUGAUUUAAGUAUUAUAAAAAUAUUUUAAGUUAUAACUUGUAACUUUUGAUAUUUUGCCAUGAAAAUAUUAAUAUUUUAAUAUUAAUAGCAAUUAUCGGAUAAUGAAUUUAAGUGUUUAAAAAUCAUAUUUAAAUGAUUUUAAAGUAUUAAAAAUACUUUGUGAUAUUAUAAAUAUAUUAUAAUAUCAUGACAUGUAUUUCGUUAAUAUUUGAUAAUAAAUAAAUAUUAAUGAUAAAAGAAUUAUGUGGUAUUUAAUUCAUUUAAAUACGAUUUUAAUGAUUGAAAAUACGAGAUAAAUAGUUAUAAUUAUUUAAAAAUUAUUAUAAGUCUUUGGAAAAUAUUUCGACUAUUAUUAAAAUUAUCUGAGAUAAUUGUUAAGUGUUAAUUCAGAGUUUAAUUGAACUUAGACUCGAAAUUUUGUCCGACUAGACCGUCGGGAUGUUUGAAUUGUGUCGGGUUCAACUCAGACUGCAAUAGUUUGACUUGAUACCGAGUCUUAUCUGUGUUGUAAACUAAUAGGGUUAUGUGUUAUGUGUUAUGUGUUUAGGUUAUUCUGUGUAUAUCUAUAUAUAUAAUAGUAUUAUAUCGUGAUGAUAUUAUUCUAAUAUUGGAGAUCUAUAUACUAAUAUUAGGUCUUCGGAUAAGGCGAUAUAAAUUGCGUAGCGGUAAUCAACGGUUCAGGCAAGUUUGUUUUACUUAACUCUAUUAAGAGUGUUUUAUUCGGAUAAGCUUAUGGUUAAUCAUUGCUGAUUGCCAUGAAUUGUACUCUGUACAUAUUGCAUGUAUAAGUCAGGUAUGAAAGGCUGAUCACCUUCAUUACUAGUUGUUUCAGAUAUAUUUGUUCAUGUAUAAUACUUGUUCAGUCAUAAAUUUGUUCCUGCUAGUUCAAAAUUAUAUUGUUGAAAUAUAGCCAGCCAAUUAUUUAAAUCAUUUCAAUCAUAAUAUAUCGUUAUAUUGUUGAAUUUAAACUUGCUGGGCAACUUUCAUGUUCACCCUUGCUAUAUCAUGUUAAAACAUUGCAGAUUAAGACGAACGCGUCGGAUACAAGGAAAGGUCCAAGACAGUUCCAGCUUUAGUUUACGUUUGUAGUUAGAAUUGUAAUAGUAUGAUAUUAAUGUUGUUAUAUGUUAGAAAAGUUAUGAAUUAUGUAUAAGUUAAGGUUACUCGACCUUGGGGAUUAUGUGUAAGUUUAAUGUAUAAACAAUUUAUGUUUAUAUCUUCCGCAAAUAUAGUAAUAGUUGUAUAGAAUGAUCGAACCAGAUCCGAGGUGAAUUAGGACCUGGAUUCGGGGCCGUCACAUACAUCAUGUGCCUAAUUUAAUACUCCCUCCAUCCCAAAAUAAUAGACGUUUUAGGGUGUAUUUUUUCCCCAAAAUAUCUGACGUUCUACCAUCCCAAGAAUAUUUUGGCAUUUAUUUUCCCUCUCUACCCUUCCUUCUCUACCACCUAUUUUUUCUGGAAUUCAGUCCAUUCUUCACACCUCAAAAAAAUCCAGUGAAAAAGUGAGAGAGCUAGGGUUCACUUUCUUCUUCUUCUUCAAGGUUUUUGAGAUCCGGCAACAACAAUGAUUUGAGAAUCCAUCUCCGGCGAUCGAUCACACUAUAUUUAAUGGAGAUCCGAAAACAAUAAUGCAGAUCGAUCAAUGGAGUAAAAGCUCGAUUUGAUCUUUUUCAACCCACAAGUCUGCGGCGAUCGAUCGGACUAUAUUUAAUGGAGAUCCGGCAACAACAAUGAUCUGAGAAUCCAUCUCUGGCGAUCAGACUCACUUUAAUGGAAAUGAUCUGAGAAUCCAUCCCCGGCGAAAUUCAUCAUCUUCUUCUUCUUUUCGGACAGCUUUCUUGUAUCUCCGUCGGUGACGGUUUCAGAGGUGACCGGCUUCUGGCGGGUGCUACCAGCGAGUGAAUUCUGUGGGUCGGAAUCGGAUGGUUGUAGCCUUGUUAUUUCAGAG